GCCGAUAUAGCUCAGUUGGUAGAGCAGCGCAUUCGUAAUGCGAAGAUCGUAGGUUCGAAUCCUGUUAUCGGCACCA
This 76-nucleotide transfer RNA is filed under the name Sodalis sp. Ffu. RNAcentral's name for it is "tRNA-Thr". It matches the Rfam family "tRNA". Rfam says of the family: Transfer RNA (tRNA) molecules are approximately 80 nucleotides in length. Their secondary structure includes four short double-helical elements and three loops (D, anti-codon, and T loops). Further hydrogen bonds mediate the characteristic L-shaped molecular structure. tRNAs have two regions of fundamental functional importance: the anti-codon, which is responsible for specific mRNA codon recognition, and the 3' end, to which the tRNAs corresponding amino acid is attached (by aminoacyl-tRNA synthetases). tRNAs cope with the degeneracy of the genetic code in two manners: having more than one tRNA (with a specific anti-codon) for a particular amino acid; and 'wobble' base-pairing, i.e. permitting non-standard base-pairing at the 3rd anti-codon position. Lineage: Bacteria; Pseudomonadati; Pseudomonadota; Gammaproteobacteria; Enterobacterales; Bruguierivoracaceae. The record is from RNAcentral. RNAcentral also lists the same sequence under 1 other name.